RNAcentral lists this ribosomal RNA (1296 nucleotides) under metagenome. RNAcentral describes it as "bacterial LSU rRNA". It matches the Rfam family "Bacterial large subunit ribosomal RNA", at positions 1635 to 2925 of the family's 2925-position model. The record is from RNAcentral.
GAUACGACCGUACCGCAAACCGACACUGGUGCGCGAGAUGAGUAUUCUAAGGCGCUUGAGAGAACUCAGGAGAAGGAACUCGGCAAAUUGACACCGUAACUUCGGAAGAAGGUGUGCCCUAUUAGUGUGUAGUGAACAACGAAGCAUGAAUGGGUUGCAAAAAAUCGGUGGCUGCGACUGUUUAUUAAAAACACAGCACUCUGCAGACACGAUAGUGGACGUAUAGGGUGUGACGCCUGCCCGGUGCUGGAAGAUUAAAUGAUGGGGUGCAAGCUCUUGAUUGAAGUCCCAGUAAACGGCGGCCGUAACUAUAACGGUCCUAAGGUAGCGAAAUUCCUUGUCGGGUAAGUUCCGACCUGCACGAAUGGCGUAACGAUGGCCACACCGUCUCCUCCUGAGACUCAGCGAAGUUGAAAUGUUUGUGAUGAUGCAAUCUCCCCGCGGAAAGACGGAAAGACCCCAUGAACCUUUACUGUAGCUUUGUAUUGGACUUUGAACAGAUCUGUGUAGGAUAGGUGGGAGGCUUUGAAGCAGGGUCGCUAGAUCUUGUGGAGCCAACGUUGAAAUACCACCCUGGUGUGUUUGAGGUUCUAACCUAGGUCCAUUAUCUGGAUCGGGGACAGUGCAUGGUAGGCAGUUUGACUGGGGCGGUCUCCUCCCAAAGCGUAACGGAGGAGUUCGAAGGUACGCUAGUUACGGUCGGACAUCGUGACGAUAGUGCAAUGGCAUAAGCGUGCUUAACUGCGAGACUGACAAGUCGAGCAGAUGCGAAAGCAGGACAUAGUGAUCCGAUGGUUCUGUAUGGAAGGGCCAUCGCUCAACGGAUAAAAGGUACUCUGGGGAUAACAGGCUGAUACCGCCCAAGAGUUCAUAUCGACGGCGGUGUUUGGCACCUCGAUGUCGGCUCAUCUCAUCCUGGGGCUGUAGCCGGUCCCAAGGGUAUGGCUGUUCGCCAUUUAAAGAGGUACGUGAGCUGGGUUUAAAACGUCGUGAGACAGUUUGGUCCCUAUCUUCCGUGGGCGCUGCAGAUUUGAGGAAGCCUGCUCCUAGUACGAGAGGACCGGAGUGGACACACCUCUGGUGUAUCGGUUGUCACGCCAGUGGCAUUGCCGAGUAGCUAAGUGUGGAAGAGAUAACCGCUGAAAGCAUCUAAGCGGGAAACUCGUUUCAAGAUGAGAUCUGCCGGGGCCUUGAGCCCCCUAAAGAGUCGUUCAAGACCAGGACGUUGAUAGGUCAGGUGUGGAAGCGCAGUAAUGCGUUAAGCUAACUGAUACUAAUUGCUCGUGCGGCUUGACC